Caretta caretta (loggerhead turtle) is the source of this 548-nucleotide long non-coding RNA. RefSeq lists it as uncharacterized. The record is from RefSeq and is a predicted model, not a curated record. NCBI's taxonomy places the organism in Eukaryota, Metazoa, Chordata, Testudines, Cheloniidae.
CCUCAGAAGCUGAUUGGCCAGCUUCAUUGUUUGGUUAGAAAAAGGAAGGAGGAGAUGUGUUCAGGAAAAAACAAUGAGAGGCUGUCUUUGCAAUCCCCAUAAGCAUCUUCAGUGGAGUGGGAUGCCAGGGUGCAGCAGCUGGAGCUCCCUCCAGAUCUUCCUCUCGCUGUUCUAUCACUGACCUACACCAGAAUUUGGAGUGGGAGCUGGUCUGGAGGACGACUUGGAAGAAAAUAAAAGGAACAAAAAGGCUAGGCUCAUGGAACAAUCUUAAAAAGGAGCAAAGACAGGGGAAGGAGAGAGGUCUUCAAUUACUAGGACUUCCUUAUUUUUACAACUUGUUAUUAUUUACUCAUGGAGGAAGGCAUAUUGUGAAUACACAAAGAAAGAUAUUUUGUGAUGUACUAUUCUUGGUUUCUUGUUUGCUUUACCUCUGAUUUAAAAAUAUUCAUAAUUUGCUCUCCCCUUCAGCAAUGUAUCUAUUAUGUAUUGAACAGCAUUACUGAGCUCAAUUGUGUUUAAUACAAUGAUGUUUGGAUGGCUGAAGA